UACGUAGGUGACAAGCGUUGUCCGGAUUUACUGGGCGUAAAGAGCGCGCAGGCGGUCCUUCAAGUCGAGUGUGAAAGCCCCCGGCUCAACUGGGGAGGGUCAUUCGAUACUGAUCGACUCGAAGGCAGGAGAGGGUAGUGGAAUUCCCGGUGUAGUGGUGAAAUGCGUAGAUAUCGGGAGGAACACCAGUGGCGAAGGCGACUACCUGGCCUGUUCUUGACGCUGAGGCGCGAAAGCUAGGGGAGCAAACGGG
This 253-nucleotide ribosomal RNA is filed under the name uncultured bacterium. Its description in RNAcentral is "partial 16S ribosomal RNA". It matches the Rfam family "Bacterial small subunit ribosomal RNA", at positions 524 to 776 of the family's 1533-position model. The record is from RNAcentral.